This 468-nucleotide ribosomal RNA is filed under the name uncultured bacterium. RNAcentral describes it as "partial 16S ribosomal RNA". It matches the Rfam family "Bacterial small subunit ribosomal RNA", at positions 28 to 507 of the family's 1533-position model. The record is from RNAcentral.
GAUGAACGCUGGCGGCGUGCUUAACACAUGCAAGUCGAACGGUGAAGGCGGAGCUUGCUCUGCUGGAUCAGUGGCGAACGGGUGAGUAACACGUGAGCAAUCUGCCCCUGACUCUGGGAUAAGCGCUGGAAACGGCGUCUAAUACUGGAUACGAGCUGCGAAGGCAACUUCAGCAGCUGGAAAGAAUUUCGGUCAGGGAUGAGCUCGCGGCCUAUCAGCUUGUUGGUGAGGUAAUGGCUCACCAAGGCGUCGACGGGUAGCCGGCCUGAGAGGGUGACCGGCCACACUGGGACUGAGAGACGGCCCAGACUCCAACGGGAGGCAGCAGUGGGGAAUAUUGCACAAUGGGCGAAAGCCUGAUGCAGCAACGCCGCGUGAGGGACGACGGCCUUCGGGUUGUAAACCUCUUUUAGCAGGGAAGAAGCGAAAGUGACGGUACCUGCAGAAAAAGCGCCGGCUAACUACGUG